This 620-nucleotide small RNA is filed under the name Pongo abelii (Sumatran orangutan). RNAcentral describes it as "processed transcript". The record is from RNAcentral. Lineage: Eukaryota; Metazoa; Chordata; Mammalia; Primates; Hominidae.
UAAAAAACCCCAAGAACAAGAAACAGGAGUGACUUGCUCAGUAAUUGUUGAGUGACAAAUCAAAUGAUGCUGUUUGGAAAAAUUUCCCAGCAGUUGUGUGGCGUAAAGAAACUCCCAUGGUCAUGUGACUCCAGAUACUUCUGGGGCUGGUUGAAUGCAGUGUUUAAUAAGGUGGAUUAUGAUCGCAUCAGGGAUGUUGGCCCUGACAGGGCGGCAUCCGAGUGGUUGCUGCGCUGUGGGGCCAUGGUGCGCUACCAUGGCCAGGAGAGGUGGCAGAAGGACUACAACCACCUUCCAACAGGCCCUCUGGACAAAUACAAGAUUCAGGCGAUCGAUGCCACCGACUCUUGUAUCAUGAGCAUUGGAUUUGAUCACAUGGAGGGCCUAGAGCAUGUUGAAAAAAUAAGGCUGUGCAAGUGUCAUUAUAUCGAGGAUGACUGUUUGCUGAGACUUAGUCAACUUGAAAAUUUACAAAAAACCAUAUUGGAAAUGGAAAUAAUAUCCUGUGGGAAUAUCACAGACAAAGGCAUCAUUGCUUUGCGUCAUUUAAGAAACCUCAAAUAUUUGUUGUUAAGUGAUCUUCCUGGAGUAAGAGAAAAAGAAAAUCUUGUCCAAGCCUU